This 392-nucleotide ribosomal RNA is filed under the name uncultured bacterium. RNAcentral describes it as "partial 16S ribosomal RNA". It matches the Rfam family "Bacterial small subunit ribosomal RNA", at positions 523 to 918 of the family's 1533-position model. The record is from RNAcentral.
AUACGGAGGAUCCGAGCGUUAUCCGGAUUUAUUGGGUUUAAAGGGUGCGCAGGCGGCCAUUUAAGUCAGCGGUUAAAUCGUGGGGCUCAACCCCAUUCUGCCGUUGAUACUGGGUGGCUUGAUUGCGGUCGAGGUUGGCGGAAUUCGUUGUGUAGCGGUGAAAUGCACAGAUAUGACGAAGAACACCGAUUGCGUAGGCAGCUGACCAGACCGCAAAUGACGCUCAUGCACGAAAGUGCGGGGAUCGAACAGGAUUAGAUACCCUGGUAGUCCGCACAGUAAACGAUGAAUACUUGUUUUCGGCGAUAUAAUGUCGGAGGCAAAGCGAAAGCGAUAAGUAUUCCACCUGGGGAGUACGCCGGCAACGGUGAAACUCAAAGGAAUUGACGGGG